RNAcentral lists this long non-coding RNA (7891 nucleotides) under Homo sapiens (human). RNAcentral describes it as "HSALNT0336061". Lineage: Eukaryota; Metazoa; Chordata; Mammalia; Primates; Hominidae. The record is from RNAcentral.
CAACAGGAACACAUAUAGCUGGAAUGCAGAUGGGAUCUGUGCUACUUACGCUAGCCAUGGGAUGAUUAGAACAAGAUAAGAGACAUGAGGAAGACUUCUUCAAGGAGGUGCUCAAGCCAUGUUUUGGAAAAGAGAACUCAAGGUCUGGCAGGGAGAAAGGAGCAAGGGCAAGUAGAGCUGCAGCUGUCUGGCGCCACUGUAAUGCUGUCUCCUCCUCUGAGUGAGUUCAUCCUGGAAACAUUUUCUCCCAUAAGACAUGCACAGGUCUUACGUUUACAUGUUUCACUGAAAGAAAUUUGAUUCCACUGCUGGGAUGACAAGGAAGACUGAAGAAACCUAAUCCUAGGUGCUGCCACUGGGACAAACAAGAAGCACCAGACACAGUGCUGUUUUAGGGUGGGGCAGAAUUAUGCUGAGGGAAAAGUUAUUAUCACUCUUUAAGGCCAAGGAAACCACAAUUUUUAAAGAAGCUUCUAGAAAUUCUACCCAGUAGAAAAUAAAGAUAAACUUCUGUAAGGAAUUUCAUUCUUUUCAGAAUUCGCAAUCUGAAAUGUAGAAGCCCAUUCCUUCAUGGUUCUCAUAGAUAUUUAGUGUGACUGAGGGGUCAGUGGACUCAUAGCACUCAGGCCAGGCUUCUCCUGAGUCCCUUUCUUUGGCACAGAGGGAGUGAUUCACAGAUCCUCUACCCCCAAAGGCAUUGUUUCCUCAUCUCAACAAGAAUCCAGCACCCGUCAUUUUAUCAGCACACGUCACUAGCUUCUCAAGUGAGACUACUCUGAAGUGAUCUGUGUUUGAAGAAUGCCUUUCCCUUUCCCUUACGUAACUAAGAGGAUGAAAAAGGACACUCACUCCCUAUAUGAAAGCUGUGUAUUGUAAGCAGUCAUCUUGCCUGGCUGAGAACUCUAGGAUCUUUUUCUCUGCUCUCCUUUAGGCUGACACUCAUAGCCAGACCUUCUGUUUAUUAGCCCCCUGAAUCUAUUUGAAAAUAUUUUUGCUUUCAUUAUAAUAUAAGUCACAUUCUUCUUGCAUCUGCCGCUGCAUUUUCCAAAAGGGUUAUGUCAAGGGAAAUUCAACACUCACUUUUCUCAUUAUUUGCUUACCAGCUUGCUCACUCAUCAAAAUACCAGAGUUAUUUGAUACUUCAGAAGAUUAUUUCCCCCUUUAGAUGAUGUGUCAAGGGAAGGGGAGCUGGCCCCAGUAUCAGGUGACAGAAUUUUCUUCGCAUUUCUACUGUUGACUCAAUAAAUGCCCUUGGGCAAGUCAUGGAGCCUCUUCAUACUUUGGUCUCUAGGGAUAAAAUCUGCCAACCGCAGCAUGUGUAUUUGAACCUCAGUGUCCUCUGGAAUAAAAAUAGGAGGGGACCAGGUGUCCAUGUGACCCCAAGCUGAUGGGAAGAGGAUGACCAUAGGACUUCAAAAUGUCCUUGAGCUGUAAAUUCUGUAAUAGGGUCAGGCCCACCAGUGGCCUUCAGGCAUUUGUCCAGUGGUGUAUGGAUAAGUUCUAGCACUUGAGUUUUUUCAGCACAAAGGAGGCACUAUGUCAACCUCCCACCCAUGGGUAUUCUGUUUGCUCUGUGUCCCCGCUUCUCUGCAUUUCCCUGCCAUAUUACUCACCACUGGUCGUAAUUACUUGCUUGAUCACUUGUCUCCUGGUCUGUAAGCUGUUUGAGGGAGGGGAGCACAUCUGCCCUAUGCAACACUGUACCCUCAGUGUGGUACACAGGAGCACAUGCCUGACAUAUGGAAGUUAUGUGAGAAACAUUUGUGAAGUGGACAAAUUAAUAAUGCUGCCUGGACUCUAUAGAAAUCCCUUUUCUGCAUCAUUAAGGUUCCCAAGCCUGGCCAAGAAGUAGUGGGAUCUGAUUAGCCUCAUCUCCUCAUAACCCUACUUCCUAUAAUAUUAUAAUGAAAGCAGAUCUCAGCCCAAAUGCUGGCACACAUACAUAUUUAUCAGUAAGAAGAUCCAAAAUCGUUCAUGCAGCUGGUUCUGUAAGCUUGGCAAAUUUCCAGCCCUCUGAACUUUUCAGUGCUUUGUCCACACUCUACAUGAAAGGGCCUCUUAAGAGUGACAGGGCAGUAUUCUAAAGACCAGAUUUUAAUUGCACCAGGUAACUGAAUUGUCUGAAUUCACAGCUGAACACAGGACAAGGUCAGAAUCAUAUUUCUUAUGCCAUUUAGAAAGGUGACAAGUGAAGGGCUGGCCAAAAUCUUACACCCAGCUUACGUAAGAGUAGAGACUGUCCCUAAUGCUUUCCCCAGUCCACUUGUCUCGAACACCAUUAGGUUCAAUAGUAAAAGCCCAUUUCUCACUUGCUUCAUGUUAAUUGACUGAUCACUAAUUUUACCAAUAAGAAGCCAUUUUUAUUAUUUAUCAUUAUGAUUUUUAUCAUUUUGUUAAUUAGCCAAGCUUCUGCUGUUGACUCCAGAUAAAGAGAGUUAAAGCACUUGGGGUGACCACCUAAGUAGAUUUUUUCAUGGUGAACAAAUGGAAGCAACAGAAACAGCUCAGACUUUUGAAAAGUGAUGAAAAAGGCCCAUGAUGCCCUGCUCCUUGAAAAUGAAGAAGAGGAUGACUUAGCCCUGCAGGGCUCUUUUCUUUGCAUGUUCUUACCAACCCUCAGGGGAGAUUCAGUCUACUAGCUGGCUUCCCCACGUGGACCUCACUCUGUGGCAAGUAACUGGGAGUAAUUUACCUUCUGGGUUCUCUUACAACCCCCUUAGCUAUGUAGGUGAUUUCAGGCCCAAGGGGGAAGAUAUCAGAUAAGCCAGAACAUUUUGAUUCUACUGACCGAGUUUCCUCACCUCCCUCCCUUUGUUUCUGAUAAAUACAUACGUUAAGGUCAGCUGAAGAGUUGUCUGUGAUAAUUGCCCUGAAUCCUCACUCACUCCUCUGAAUUUCUGUCUUCUGUAGCCUCUUAGCCAUGUUGCAGGUGAAGGUCUCAAGUCAUUUGCACCACUAGGAAUCGUUUGUGUUAUUGUGACUGAUAUAUGUCCUCAGAGUUGUAUCAGUGUUGUCCCCUACACACACAUGCACAUACAUGCACCACACAAUAUGCACGUUCUAUAAGACAGAGCCUCUAUUUUUGGUGUCUGCUUAGCCCUCCAGUUUCCCAUUGGGAUUAGUUGUUUUCUCCAAGCUUCAGACAACUUGGAGAUCCUGCCUAACUUUGGUUGCUCUUCCUUGUCAGACUGGAACUUACCCUCAGUAUGGUACAACCAAUCACUGGCUCUCAGGGAACUCAUCACCCUGAACUAUGCCUGACAGGACAGGAGCACCAUCAUCUCGGACAAACACUGCCACUUUAAGUUCCAGCUCCCUUUCUAGCCUCAGGCAUUUCAAGAAAAUCACUUGUCUUCUCAUUACAAGCAGUCAGAAAGAGCAGACAGUAAAAUACAGAUAAGACGGGCACAGAGGGAAGUGGGAGGAAAGUCUCUUGGGUAACUGCCAAACUUCACCCUCAUACAAUGGGCCCCAGUAAAACAGUGGGCCUUAAUAAGCACAUUCCUUUCCUUUCAGGUGCACUAAGAUAGGAAGGCUAAAGGCAGAUUGGGGGGAUAUGCCUGCAGCUACAGAAAGAUGUAUGGGAACAGACACACAACUCUCCCUCCCAAAUAAGCACAACAGAGAGACACAGAAGCAGUCCAAGCCUCUGAUAAACUCUCCCACCCUGAAUCUUUAAAAACUCUUAGUCUGCAAGAGAGUGUGGCUUCUGACCUAACUCGAUCAGAAGUCCCUCCCAGGUUUAAAAUAAACCUGUUAACUGUUGAGCCACCCUUCGUGUUUCUCUCCUCUUUCUUUAAUUCUUACAAUGCCUUCCUGAUGGCUGACUGCCAGGAAACCCCUUGGAUACAAUAGCCUGAAGCUGCUUACUCCCCUGGGUGUUGCCCUCCUGGCUACCCAUGGAAGAGCAAGCCCUGUUGACAAGAGCUUCCCCCAGCUCUAAUCCUACCUGGUUAUGGUUUAUUUUCUUUCCCCACCAUCUGGGCAGUUAUGUUGGCCCAAGGAAUUUGACUCAGUAUUAUCAUAGCAUAGAGCUAAUUUUAUAUGUAUUUAUUUCCAUGGUAAACAAGUUAUUCCCAUUGUCUGUCAUUCCCACUAAGCCUGCUAGGGACAGCCCAAAGGAGCAGCUCUAAGUGAGGAUACUUUGCCCUGUAUGACCCCGUCCCUAGAGCAGAUUGGUUCAUGGUUGACACCUAACAAAAAGACAGCCAAUCGAUAGGUUGGUCAGCAACUUUUCUCAUAACCUGACGCAUACAUAAAAGCUGGGUUAAACGCCAUUUCUACCUUGGAAAUUUAACCAAAGAAAGGUCAAGAAAAAGCGAAAAGACUUGGGAGGAUGCUUUGAAAUGAAAAGAUAAGAAUUGGAGCUACAGUAGGUUGUAAGAAGCCCCGGUUGCAAAAUAUUGAAACUAUGAGCAAGCUGUAGUGAUGGUGGAGAGAAGAGUUUCAGGCCAAGGGAAAGAAGCAGCUCAGAGGAGACUGAGCUAGGCCAGUGGACAUGGCCCCCUAACUCCUGCCACAGAGCCCUGGAGUCUCCUGGAGCCAGAGUGGCUCCUCAGUCCCAGGGCAGUGAGGCCUAUCCCUUCCAAUGCCUCUUCCUUCCUUCUGUGGAAGACCAACUCCAUUGAUGUUCCAUGUUUAUCUCCCUCCUGAGCUAACCUAGCUGAGUCUGCUCCUUACAAUCAAGAAAACCCACCCACUUUACUGGAUUCUCUCUGUGUGCAGCGAUGGUGGCAUAUAUCUUUGUAGCUUUUUGCCUCUAAUAUAAUGCAUUAUAAGGGUAAGUGAUGAGUUCUCAGUAAAUGAAUGUUGAAUAAACGAAUUUUUGAAAGCGCAAAGGAACAGACAAGUUCAUACACUUACUGUUAUGUUGUAAAGUCUUCAGUUUGGCUUUCUCAAAGUUGAACAAAAGAUGGCUACAUUCCUAGCGUCCCCCCAAGCCUUUUCCUAGUCCAUGAGUUUAGAGAUGGACUGCAAAUUUUAAACAAUACAAAUCUAGAAUCAGAUUCAAAAUCUCCUUCAAGAGGACAAACACUCUACUCCUAUUCUCAAUCCAGUUUUUUGAACUGAUCAGCCCACACACGCACGCACACACACACACACACUCAAAAUUAUUUUAAUAUAUGGACAGUCCUCAGUGUUUUUGUUUGUUUGUUUGUUUGUUUUUUGAGAUGGAGUCUCACUCUGUCGCCCAGGCUGGAGUGCAGUGGCGCAAUCUCGGCUCACUGCGAGCUCUCCCUCCCGGGUUCACGCCACUCUCCUGCCUCAGCUGGGACUACAGGUGCCCGCCACCACGCCCAGCUAAUUUUUUUGUAUUUUUAGUACAGACGGGGUUUCACCGUGUCAGCCUGGAUGGUUUGGGUCUCCUGACCUCGUGAUCCGCCCACCUCAGCCUCCCAAAGUGCUGGGAUUACAGGCGUGAGCCACCGCACCUGGCCAUCUUCAGUGUUUUUAAUACCUGAGUUUGUGGUUCUAAUUGUCUGAUUGAGCUAAAAAUUAACAAGAACUGGUUUGAGAACAUCUUCCUGCUUGGAAGUUAUUUCACCAAUUCAUUCUUUUAUAACACUGUAAAAAAGUAACUUAUUACAAGGUAGUAGUAACCUUUUCUUCCAAAGAAAUAUAAAAAAUCAAUUUGGUUAUGAAGAGAACUUUUGAACUUGGAGUUACUGAAAAUUAUUUACCAUCAGAGGAAUAUGUACUGGUCCUAAGAACAAUGAUAAAAGCCACAGUCCCUACUCUGGCAGCUGCUGGGCUGGUGGCAGAAGUUGUCUCAUCUGCUUUUCCCCACCAUUCUGGGAGCACUAGUAGCUUUGACUAUACACAGCUAUCAGAAGAGGGAGAGUUCAGCCUAGACCAGGGGUUGGUCCACAAACCUUUAUGGCAAAGGGCCGAACAGUAAAUAUUUUAGGUUUUGUGGGCCCCAUAGUCUCCACUGCAAGUACUCCACUGUGCUAUGGUCACACAAAAGCAGUCAUAGACAAUAUGUGAAGGAAUGAGUAUGACUAUGUUCCAAUAAAAGUUUACAGGUGCAGAAAUUUGAAUUUUAUAUAAUUUUCAUGUGUCCCAAACUAUUAUUCUUCUUUUCAGCCAUUUAAAAACAUAAAAACCAUCCUUGCAUUGUGAGCUGUAUCAAAUCAGAGGAUGAGAACAUGGACGCAGGUUUGGGGUCCCUGCUUCCUACCCUAGCUGAGUGCUGGGGGAACAGGCUGUAGAAUAGAUGCCUCAGGUCAACAUGGGGGGCUCCCAGGGUGGAAAGACUAGGGUCUCCCUUCCCAAGGUGAGUUCUGGAGUGACUGUGAGCCCUAGUGAAGCUUCAUGUCCCCCAUGGUACCAGAGCAGCAGAGCAACGGUGGCCAAGGGGCCUGGACAGAAUACCCUGGAGCCAGCUUUGUGACAGGCCCCUACAAAUGAUAAGGACAAAGAGUCAAAGUUCCUGAGCCUCCAUUUCAAAGGAGAGAAGAAGAUGAUGAUGGCUGGCCAGCAAAUUCAGAGAAGACUGGGUUGGAAGGCGAGAUCUGCCUGGACUCUACAACCAGAGGCCAUUACAAGAUGGUGUCCCCUUGGCCAAUACAGCAGGGGAAACAGCUGAUGCCCAAAGACCGCAUGGUUUGGAGGAGGCUCUCCUCAGAGAAGAAGUGGCCUGCCUCCACUCCUCUGGGUUCCCUAGAGCUGGUCCUCUUCUCCCUGAAGGCUGUCACAGUUCCUGUGCAGAGAGAGAGGGCACUGCAGCACCCAGGCGCUGACUGCCUUUUGUCAGUCUCAUUUGCAGGCCCCCAGCUGGAGAACCCAGGAGGAAGAGGAAAAAAGUUUUUUCCUCCUCUACACUCCCCAUGCAUGACUAAAGAGUAGGAGGAGUCAGCAAGGCAGACAUAUAUAGUACCCAGGAGGUGGACAAACAACUGCCUUGGUGGAAACUCUGUCCUUUCUGGACUUAUCCUGGUGCCACUGAGACUGUGCAGAUUUAGAUCUACAAUCCACCUGGAAUUGAUUUUUGUAUAUGGAGUGAGGUCCCACACUUACAGGGAAAGCAUCACCCGAAAGUGAGAAUGCCUAGAGGCAGGAAUCAUGGAGGCUUCCUUAACCGUCUGUCUGCAACAGCAGGUGCUAGAGAUGACACUGCAGAGUAGAGAACAAAGGAAUCUUAGUAAUUGUUCAAUCCAAUCUCCACACUUUAAAGAUGAAGAAACUGGUAUUGAGAAAAAUACACAGCUUAUCCAAGGUUGCACUGCUGGUUGGUAGCUGAGAUGAAUUUAGAACCCACAUCUGAUGACUACACCAUAUUGCUCCCAGUUUUCCUGUCUGUUCCACAUGUAAAAGUCUGACUCUUCACUUCUCCUUUGAGUAUAUAGACUUUUAACAUUUUUGUAUGUCAAGAUGGACUUUUCCUCAUACCCAGCCCCUGCCUUUUCUCCUCCCUUCAUACCUUGCAGGAUCUUUAACAGAAUUUAAAAGGAGUUUUUUGUUUUGUUUUGAUGUAUCUAAUAAAAGUCAAGGGAGGGAGAGGGCCAGUAUAAGCAAGAGUACAGUUUCCUAGUUUGUAGAUGCGGUAGUCUGAGGAAUCAGAAACACACAAAGGUUUGGAGAACUGGUACAUGCUCCCAGGUGGGAAGCCAGGACUCUUGGUAGGAUCUUGAGGACAAGGCAAAGGACAAUAAGAGAGCGAGGGGAUCCUAGAGGUGGAAUCAAGGAAGAGAAACUAGAGAGAGAAAAAGGAACUGGCUAUCCAUCCAUGAUGGAUCCUGUGUGGACUGAUGGGUGGCUUGGCAUCAUCCUUUAGUAGACUUCAUGUGGUUGAAUAAUUGGCCAAUGGAAGGAAUUUCUUUUUUGGUAACAGACUCUGUGUGUACAGUUAUGGGUCUUAAUUUAUAAUAAAAGGUUACAUUGAAAAUUG